This is a long non-coding RNA of Homo sapiens (human), 1017 nucleotides long. Ensembl annotates it as long intergenic non-protein coding RNA 2532. The record is from Ensembl. NCBI's taxonomy places the organism in Eukaryota, Metazoa, Chordata, Mammalia, Primates, Hominidae.
UGUGCAACAUGGUUAUGGGUACUACAGUGGAUGUGAGUGUGUAGACCUUGUACAAUAGAGCUUAUAGGCUAAUGAGAAGACAGGAAGAAACAACAGGAACACAUAUAGCUGGAAUGCAGAUGGGAUCUGUGCUACUUACGCUAGCCAUGGGAUGAUUAGAACAAGAUAAGAGACAUGAGGAAGACUUCUUCAAGGAGGUGCUCAAGCCAUGUUUUGGAAAAGAGAACUCAAGGUCUGGCAGGGAGAAAGGAGCAAGACUUUGAGUCUUUGCUUCAGAUGCAGAUCAAGAUGUGGCAACCUGUUGUGGAGAACUGGGUCCCUUGAGCCUGUGCUGUCUCUUUUUUUCUGGUGGCUUUGUCAUUUGGAACAAUGCAUAAUGGGCUGGAGGCUGAGAAACUCUGAGCUGAGAGAUGGAGUCUUGCUUUGUUGCCCAGGCUGCAGUGCAGUGGCACCAUCAUGGCUCACCGCAGCCUUGGCCUCGUGGGCUCAAGCUAUUCUAUUUCAGCCUCCCAAGUAGCUGGGAAUACAGGUGACACAAGGAUGACAGGAACAGUUAUCAGGGAAGCACACUGAUCGACUGAGCUGCCUGCUCCUGGCCUUCUGGAUCCUCCUCAGUUCCUGCUUAUCUCUAGGCCAGGCUCUCAACUCUGUCAAUUCUGGCAAGUAGAGCUGCAGCUGUCUGGCGCCACUGUAAUGCUGUCUCCUCCUCUGAGUGAGUUCAUCCUGGAAACAUUUUCUCCCAUAAGACAUGCACAGGUCUUACGUUUACAUGUUUCACUGAAAGAAAUUUGAUUCCACUGCUGGGAUGACAAGGAAGACUGAAGAAACCUAAUCCUAGGUGCUGCCACUGGGACAAACAAGAAGCACCAGACACAGUGCUGUUUUAGGGUGGGGCAGAAUUAUGCUGAGGGAAAAGUUAUUAUCACUCUUUAAGGCCAAGGAAACCACAAUUUUUAAAGAAGCUUCUAGAAAUUCUACCCAGUAGAAAAUAAAGAUAAACUUCUGUAAGGAAUUUCA